CCUACGGGUGGCUGCAGUGAGGGAUAUUGGGCAAUGGGCGCAAGCCUGACCCAGCGACGCCGCGUGGAGGAGAAGGGCUUCGGCUCGUAAACUCCUUUUCCCAGGGACGAGAACAGGACGGUACCUGGGGAAUAAGUCUCGGCUAACUACGUGCCCGCAGCCGCGGUAAUACGUAGGAGGCAAGCGUUAUCCGGAAUUACUGGGCGUAAAGGGCGUCUAGGUGGCAGCCCAAGCGGGGUGUGAAAGCUCCUGGCUUAACUGGGAGAGUGCGCUCCGAACUGGGCAGCUAGAGGGCAGGCGACGGAGGUGGAAUACCCGGUGGAGUGGUGAAAUGCGUAGAGAUCGGGUGGAACACCAGUGGCGAAGGCGGCCUUCGAGCCUGUGCCUGACACUGAAGCGCGAGAGCGUGGGGAGCAAACGGGAUUAGAUACCCGAGUAGUC
RNAcentral lists this ribosomal RNA (441 nucleotides) under uncultured bacterium. RNAcentral describes it as "partial 16S ribosomal RNA". It matches the Rfam family "Bacterial small subunit ribosomal RNA", at positions 338 to 795 of the family's 1533-position model. The record is from RNAcentral.